AUGUCAUGAUUAGGACAAUUCCUAAACAAAUCCUUGAAUCUUGCCCAAGCUUCUGUAUAGCUCUAGAGAUCAUUUUGUUUAAAUGUGUAGAAUUUAUUCCAAAUUU
Molecule: small nucleolar RNA, 106 nt
Filed under: Olea europaea subsp. europaea
Lineage: Eukaryota; Viridiplantae; Streptophyta; Magnoliopsida; Lamiales; Oleaceae
Description: Plant small nucleolar RNA R71
Rfam family: Plant small nucleolar RNA R71
About the family: R71 is a member of the C/D box family of snoRNAs containing the C (UGAUGA) and D (CUGA) box motifs. Multiple nearly identical copies of this snoRNA have been identified in Arabidopsis, and it is thought to function as a 2'-O-ribose methylation guide for 18S ribosomal RNA.
Source: Rfam by way of RNAcentral